Molecule: non-coding RNA, 211 nt
Organism: Cinara cedri
Lineage: Eukaryota; Metazoa; Arthropoda; Insecta; Hemiptera; Aphididae
Source: the annotation of a GenBank genome assembly
UUUAAACGUCACCCUUGCGUUAGCUGAGUUACCCGUUGUUGUCCGCGGUUAUUUAUUCAUUCCAAUCUCAUGUUAUUAUAUUAGACUUUAGACAGGAUAAUCUUCUCGGUGUAACAGACGAUUUCUACCAUUCCCCAGCAGUCCCCCGUCCGUUACGUUAGGUAACUUUUACUUUAUGCGAUUUUUAUCCGCCUGUAAACUAAACCGGAGU